GAUGAACGCUGGCGGCGUGCCUAAUACAUGCAAGUCGAACGCGCAGCGAAAGGUGCUUGCACCUUUCAAGCGAGUGGCGAACGGGUGAGUAACACGUGGAUAACCUGCCUCAAGGCUGGGGAUAACAUUUGGAAACAGAUGCUAAUACCGAAUAAAACUUAGUAUCGCAUGAUACAAAGUUAAAAGGCGCUACGGCGUCACCUAGAGAUGGAUCAGAGGUGCAUUAGUUAGUUGGUGGGGUAAAGGCUUACCAAGACGAUGAUGCAUAGCCGAGUUGAGAGACUGAUCGGCCACAUUGGGACUGAGACACGGCCCAAACUCCUACGGGAGGCUGCAGUAGGGAAUCUUCCACAAUGGGCGCAAGCCUGAUGGAGCAACGCCGCGUGUGUGAUGAAGGCUUUCGGGUCGUAAAGCACUGUUGUAUGGGAAGAAAUGCUAAAAUAGGGAAUGAUUUUAGUUUGACGGUACCAUACCAGAAAGGGACGGCUAAAUACGUGCCAGCAGCCGCCGUAA
This 513-nucleotide ribosomal RNA is filed under the name uncultured bacterium. RNAcentral's name for it is "partial 16S ribosomal RNA". It matches the Rfam family "Bacterial small subunit ribosomal RNA", at positions 28 to 523 of the family's 1533-position model. The record is from RNAcentral.